CGGGGCGUGGCGCAGCUUGGUAGCGCGCUUGCAUGGGGUGCAAGAGGUCCCGAGUUCAAAUCUCGGCGCCCCGA
Molecule: transfer RNA, 74 nt
Filed under: Chloroflexota bacterium
Lineage: Bacteria; Bacillati; Chloroflexota
Description: Chloroflexi bacterium tRNA-Pro
Rfam family: tRNA
About the family: Transfer RNA (tRNA) molecules are approximately 80 nucleotides in length.
Source: RNAcentral